GGGCGAUUAGCUCAGAUGGCUAGAGUACUAGCUUGACAUGCUAGGGGUCACUGGUUCGAGUCCAGUAUCGCCCA
RNAcentral lists this transfer RNA (74 nucleotides) under Spirochaetaceae bacterium. Its description in RNAcentral is "tRNA-Val". It matches the Rfam family "tRNA". From Rfam's summary of the family: Transfer RNA (tRNA) molecules are approximately 80 nucleotides in length. Their secondary structure includes four short double-helical elements and three loops (D, anti-codon, and T loops). Lineage: Bacteria; Pseudomonadati; Spirochaetota; Spirochaetia; Spirochaetales; Spirochaetaceae. The record is from RNAcentral. RNAcentral also lists the same sequence under 1 other name.